CGGGAGGCAGCAGUAGGGAAUCUUGCGCAAUGGGCGAAAGCCUGACGCAGCCAUGCCGCGUGAAUGAUGAAGGUCUUAGGAUUGUAAAAUUCUUUCACCGGGGACGAUAAUGACGGUACCCGGAGAAGAAGCCCCGGCUAACUUCGUGCCAGCAGCCGCGGUAAUACGAAGGGGGCUAGCGUUGCUCGGAAUUACUGGGCGUAAAGGGAGCGUAGGCGGAUAGUUUAGUCAGAGGUGAAAGCCCAGGGCUCAACCUUGGAACUGCCUUUGAUACUGGCUAUCUUGAGUAUGGGAGAGGUGAGUGGAACUCCGAGUGUAGAGGUGAAAUUCGUAGAUAUUCGGAAGAACACCAGUGGCGAAGGCGACUCACUGGCCCAUUACUGACGCUGAGGCUCGAAAGCGUGGGGAGCAAACAGGAUUAGAUACCCCCGU
This 432-nucleotide ribosomal RNA is filed under the name uncultured Phenylobacterium sp. RNAcentral's name for it is "bacterial SSU rRNA". It matches the Rfam family "Bacterial small subunit ribosomal RNA", at positions 342 to 791 of the family's 1533-position model. The record is from RNAcentral. Lineage: Bacteria; Pseudomonadati; Pseudomonadota; Alphaproteobacteria; Caulobacterales; Caulobacteraceae.